AUGACCAUUCUUAUCACCAUUUACUUAGGAACAGCUGAGAAUUCAGUCAUGUGGCAGUCAGCAACUAUAAUCUUUCUAAUCCAGAUUUUCUACUUCUGCCUUUUAAUCCCUGGUUGGUUACUCCAAUCUAGAUUUCUUCCCUCUAAGAAAUUUGCUAAAGUCUCCAAAAGGUUUUUGGAGGGAGAAAAUGCUACGAAAGAUCAUUCUGGAAUUUCAGAAAAGCCUCUUUGCAGUCAACAUCCACAGAAAAGAAAUAGAAGCAAUUGAUCUACAAGGACCUGCCUUUGAAACAUUGAUACAUUAAGGAUAUGUUCAUGUGUGGAUGUGAUGGAACUGAGGUUACUAGGUUCAUGCUACCUAGAGCAUGAGGCUGACAAAUAGAGAAGCACUGAGUCAAAUGAAUCUUGGAAAAAUGGAGCUAGAAGAAAACCGGAGUAAGCCUGUCUCUGAAAGGGCACUACCUUUGGAUAUCCAGCAGUGGGACCCAGUAUUUUUUCUUGUUGUUUAAUCUCAUUUCUGUUACUUGCAGCCAAAGGCUCUUAAUGAGAAAAUGGCUCUACCUUGUUUUCUGAAAGUUGCCUGUCGUUCCACCCUUCCCUAUUACAACACUCAUCUCUUUAAUUCACAUCCAAUAACUGAUGUUUUCUUAACUAAUCUACAUCCUCUCAUUCUCUCCUCCUUCUAAUUCACCUUUCAUACUGUUGCCAGGUGACUUUUCCUAAAAGACAACUUUCAUGAUGUCAUUCUACUUCAAAAAUUCCUAUAAUCGUUUCUUUUUGCUUUUAGUCCAAACUCCUCAGAUAUGUUUUUAAGGCUUUUCAUAAUUGAAUUUCUUUUAUACACCUAAGAUGAUUUCUCUGUGUUCCCAAAUGUACAAUUGACAGUCCUUCCUCCUGAUGUUCUCUCAAGUAAGAAAUGUUUCCUCUAUGUAAAUUCAGUAUAGCUUUUAGUCUCUAUUCAAGUUCUACCUUUAUUCAUAAAUUUCUCCUGAAUAGAGUCAGCCUACAUCCAUUUAAACAGUCUUCAUUAGGUGCACAUUAUGUGCCAGGUACUCAACAAGGCAGUGGAACUAUGAAGACAGAUAAUCACAGUCCCUCUUGCCUCUGGGAGCAGGCAGUUGAAUGCAAUGCUUUUUAAAGUUUUAAGUAAUGUGGUCAUGCAAAAUCUUAUAGAUACAAAUUUGAAUUUAUAGAGUUUAAUUACCAAGCUAGUGAGACUUAAUGUUGCAGUUAAUAAAAAGUUUGAAAUCAAGGUAUAUAGGUAAGUAUAGUGGUCUUAUAUUUAGC
Molecule: long non-coding RNA, 1286 nt
Filed under: Macaca nemestrina (pig-tailed macaque)
Lineage: Eukaryota; Metazoa; Chordata; Mammalia; Primates; Cercopithecidae
Description: lncRNA (ENSMNEG00000046119.1)
Source: RNAcentral